UCCAGACUCCUACGGGAGGCAGCAGUGGGGGAUAUUGCACAAUGGGGGGAACCCUGAUGCAGCGACGCCGCGUGGGUGAAGGAGCGUUUCGGCGCGUAAAGCCCUAUCGGCAGGGAAGAAGGAGGACGGUACCUGACUAAGAAGCCCCGGCUAACUACGUGCCAGCAGCCGCGGUAAUACGUAGGGGGCAAGCGUUAUCCGGAUUUACUGGGUGUAAAGGGGGCGCAGACGGCAGCGCAAGCCAGGAGUGAAAGCCCGGGGCCCAACCCCGGGACUGCUCUUGGAACUGCGCGGCUGGAGUGCAGGAGGGGCAGGCGGAAUUCCUGGUGUAGCGGUGAAAUGCGUAGAUAUCAGGAGGAACACCGGUGGCGAAGGCGGCCUGCUGGACUGCGACUGACGUUGAGGCCCGAAAGCGUGGGGAGCAAACAGGAUUAGAUACCCCAGUACAG
This 449-nucleotide ribosomal RNA is filed under the name uncultured bacterium. RNAcentral describes it as "partial 16S ribosomal RNA". It matches the Rfam family "Bacterial small subunit ribosomal RNA", at positions 330 to 793 of the family's 1533-position model. The record is from RNAcentral.